CCCACCCCCCUGUGUCCGGAUAGGUUUAAAAGGGUAAAGGUCCAGGCAAACCUCUGCCCAUGCUACCAUCUUCUCGACCAAUCAACAUAGGUUGCUGUGUAUGUUUUUGGCGGCGGGAGAUAAACAAAGAGAAACAGAGAGACGAGAGAGUAAUACUAAAGAAGAGUAAUUCUGCCAGCGUAAGAGAAAUAAAUACAACACGAGAUAUCUAGAUACAGUCACACACACACACAAAUACACAUACAUACACACACACACAUAUCCCAAGACAAAUUCAAACCAACAUGUCAAAACGGCGUUACACUACGGAAGAAGCCGUAGAAUUUAUUUUGUCUGGCGGACCGCUUAGCGAUGCAGCGGUGGAUUCCUCAGAUUCUGAAGCUGACAACUGGCAAGGAAGAGGAGUAUGAUCACGGGAUUGAUCCCUUCGAAGAUAAAAAAUACAGAGGAUGAGAGAGGGGAUGCACAAGCCCCUGUCCCCAUCAGUAGGCCUCCUUCAAACCGAGAGGGAAAAGAAUGCGGCCAGGAGGGUGCAGCAUCCAGAAAAAAGGCCAAACCAAUGCCAGCCCCCCUGACAGUGAAAGGGAGAGGAAGAGGAAAAGGGAAAAAAACAUCUCUGACCCCAGAAGAGCCAGGAGCUGUUUGGAACGGACCUGAGGUGCCAGAUACUGCCCAACAACUACCACACUUUUGCCCGAAAAGAGCCCCUGGAGUCCAAGGUUUUGUUGGUGUGGAGUAUACUCCUGCACAAAUAUUUAGAAAUUGUUUUAACAACCAAGCUGUAAAUAUCAUCUGCAAGAACACAAACAAAAAUGCUGAAAAGGAGCAGGCUAAGGGGGAAAAGUUUGUUU
Molecule: long non-coding RNA, 851 nt
Organism: Gymnodraco acuticeps
Lineage: Eukaryota; Metazoa; Chordata; Actinopteri; Perciformes; Bathydraconidae
Exons: 2
Source: RefSeq, a predicted model, not a curated record